UAUCACUGGACGGUCAGGCUUCCAAGGUAGGAAUUCGGUGGAGAGUGGGUGGGGGAGCAUAAUAUCAGUUCCAGCAGUCUGAUACAUCUAAAUGUUCACUUUGGCAUUGAUCAAGCAUUUAACAUGUGUUAGUCAUUGUGCUUCAAAGUGCCACAACUCUUCCCUUACUCUGGUAACGAGAACCGAAUAGUGCACCAUGAGAACCUCUGAUAGCCCCACACUCGCAGUUUUCUGCAUAUAAGGGAGGAAAUGCCUGGCCUGUAAGAACUGUGCAUCUCUGUUCAUAUCCUGGUCCAGUCUGGACAGCAUGUGCAUAAUUAGUCCAUUUUCUUCCCAGGCUCUUUGUUUAAGAGGAUUUGGUAGAUCUGCUAAUUCAGUUGCUUGUGUGCAGCUCUUGUCACACAGUCAAUUAUGGAAGUCUUUGAAUAGCAUAACUGAAAUCGUGUUCGGCUUAAUCACUUCUGACAGCAGCGGGGUUGCGGCUGAGCGCCAGCACACGUUACACAGGAAUGCCAUUAGCAGACUGGUCUCAGGGCACACACUGGUCCUUCUGUGUGUUAUCAGACUGGCAAGCAUCACCUCUGUAUGAACUGUUGGACCACCUCAGCCAGCAAGUUAAAAACAAUUGGCCUGACAGAAAUUAGAGGAGCCUAGGGAGUUUCCUCCAUCCAGAACUAUAGCAGCAGCCACAGUCACUGCCAAGAAGCUCCAUGUAGUCACUCUACUCACUGGUACCCAGCAAGACUCUGAAUCCAGGGUACCUGGAUGUGCUUCAAACAACCAUGAUGCCACCUUUUGCCUGUGGAGCCUGAGCUAGGAAGCUGAACCCCUCUGGACCUCCACUAUCGGUACACAUGAAGCACUUGGUUCAACACAUAGUCAGCACUUAAAAAUUUGACCUGUCAUGGUCUAGACACAGAGAUCAUUGCUCCAUUCAUGUUUACAAUAAUACAAUCACUAUGAGUACUAAGAACCCUCUUCUCAGUGGAUGUUCUCCAACUAUUGAAUAUGUAUUAAAUCAAUGCAAUCUUCACACAUACUGAAGGAAAGGAAAGCAUAUUUUUCUUGGAUAACAGAGAAACCUAAAUUGAGUAUGAACUUGAGCCUCCUGUUUAGCUGAGACUAAGCCUGAGGCUAUGAGGUUGACAACAGCAGCUCAGAUCUCUCACUGCUGGCUUGCCAGCAUGCCCUAGACCAGCGGCCUUGUAAUAGAAGUUUGGCUGCUCUUUUAUAGGCAAGGUGCUGGAGUUAGGAAUGAAAGAGACAUUGCCAGUGUCUUCUGCAACUGGGACUAAGACAGAGUUUUGGGAUGCUGAAUGGCAAACUCCAAAAGCAUUAGCUACUACUUUGAUGUAUUUGGGCCUCAAAAGUUGAAGCAUACAGAUCAUUUCUUCCUUUUUCUCCAGAUUCUUCUUCUUCCUCCUCCUCUUCCAUUUCCACUUCUUAAUCACCACCACCACCACCACCACCACUACUACCACCGCCACCACCACCACUACUACCACCACCACCACUACCACCACCACCACCACCACCACCAUCACCACUACUACCACCACCCCACUACCACCACCACCAUAUAGCCAUUUCCCUUCUGUUGAUAGAAUAAUGUUAGAGUUUGUUUAGAUCAACUAUUCCUUACAGCAACAUGUUCCAUGAAAGCACAGAUGUCCUAGAACCUCGCUACUAACAAUGCUCAACAAGCUGGCAGUGUUGUGUCCUAAGAACGCUUAUUAGGACUACUAACUCUCAGACUUCACCCCAGUCCUCUGAAUCAUGAUCUGCAUUUCAACCAGAUACUUAAACAAUUUGUGUGCAUACUGACGAUAGAGGACUGCUGGGAAAGGGGGACAUGGGCUUUGGCAUCUGAAGUAAAUAGAUUUGACACCCAUAUCUUCCAUUUAUUAUCUGCACUGCCUCAGAAAAAAAUUGCAUAACCUUUGUGAAAUUGUUUUCUAAUCUAUAAAUUGAACUUAAUACUAUCUUGCAGGAUUGUUGUAAGAAUUGGCGAUAAUAAAGUUAACUACAUUUAUUUCUCUGCUCCUGGCACAGUCUAAGAUACUUAACAUCCAUACUGUUUCUCAUUUCAGUUUCCCAACAGAGCUAUUAAGUAGGUGCUGGGUUAUCUACAGACACAAACACAGGAGAGUGGGAAGCCCUGGGCAGAGGAUGGUGAGCCAGUCAGUAGUAACACUGGUACAUCUCAGAGCUUUGAUUCUCCAUAGAGGAGAGGGGAUUGCAGUUAGCCAUUCCAUAUAUUCUACACACAGUCUAGGUAUACUUGUGUGUGUCUUUGUGUGUGUGUGUGUGUGUGUGUGUGUGUGUGUACAUGUGUUAACAGCCGUUGCAGUCUGAGCUGAAUUUUUUCAGGUUCUUGCUUCUUAUCCAAAGAAUUGAAAAUAAGAAUUCACAAAUUUGAAAAUAAUCAAGGUAAUUUUAUUUGGAGCAGAGCAAUAAUACAGACCUCACUGGGAAAAUGGACAACUGGUUACAUGAGUACUCACUCAUGCUUCAGGCUCCAGGGUGUAGCCUCAGUUCUCUUUUACGGAAGUAUAAGAGAGUGAGGGCUUAGGUAUUAAGGUGAAUGGUUUGGGAGGCUCUUUAUUUUAUAACUAGAUGAGGUCAAUGAAUCACUUCUCUACUGUGCUUGCCCCUUCCCAUAAUGCAUCUGAUUUAAUCCCAUGCCUAUCAAAUUAUGCAUAGACAUAAGAAAGUAAAGAAAGGACUCUCCCUAAAGCAAUGGUUCUUAGCCUUCCUAAUGCCACCGUUCUUUAAUAAAGUUCCUCAUCUUAUGGUGACCCCCAAACAUAAAAGUGUUUUGUUGCUACUUUAUAAUUAUAAUUUUGCUACUGUUAAUGAAUUGUAAUAUAAAUAAAGGAUAUGAGGAAUAGCUGAUAUGUGACCCCAAAGGGGGUCAUGAUCCACAGGAUAAAAACUGCUGCCCUAAAACAUUAUUAGAGAAGACAACUUUGUCCUAAGGAUUGUACACCUAAAACAUGGAUCAACAUUUUAUCGACUAUACCCAGACAUACUGGAGAUACAACUGGAUAGAAAGUCUGUUUUACUGUUAUCAGCAGCUGGGAAACUCAUACCUACUGUUCAGAGGUGGGAGUACAUGAAGGUCAUUGCAGGUUGUUAGUUGAGGGAUUUUGAGGUUGCUAGGUAUAUCAUUAGUAUGUGUGUGUCUGUGUAUGUUCGUGUGUGUGUGUGUGUGUGUGUGUGUGUGUGUGUGUGUGUGUGUGUGUGUUAAAUACAGGUUUAAGAACUAGGCUGCCAAGUGCAUUGCAUGCGGAAGGUAUAUAUAGGCUAAAACCAAAUGGGGUACCAGAGCAGUUAACUGCUCCUGCGACUGCCUGCCUGCCUGCCUGCCUGCCUGAUGCCUGCCUGCCUGAUGCCUGCCUGCCUGAUGCCUGCCUGAUGCUUGCCUGAUGCCUGCCUGCCUGCCUGCCUGAUGCCUGCCUGCCUGCCUGAUGCCUGCCUGCCUGCCUGAUGCCUGCCUGAUGCUUGCCUGAUGCCUGCCUGCCUGCCUGCCUGAUGCCUGCCUGCCUGCCUGAUGCUUGCCUGAUGCCUGCCUGCCUGCCUGCCUGAUGCCUGCCUGCCUGCCUGAUGCUUGCCUGAUGCCUGCCUGCCUGCCUGCCUGCCUGCCUGAUGCCUGCCUGAUGCCUGCCUGCCUGCCUGAUGCCUGCCUGAUGCCUUCCUGCCUGCCUUCCAUGUUUGCAUAUCUUUGGAGUCCAGAAGGCAACCUUGAGUAGUGCUGCUCAGGUGUUGUUCACUGUCUUUUGAGACAGAGUCUGUCAUUCAUCUGAACUUGCUAGCAGACUAGACUGCCUGACAGUGAGCCACUGGGAUCCACCUGUCUCCACCUCCCCACCACUUAGGUGACUCUAGGUCCUGUCAAGCUGACAGUAAGCCAUUUCACCACAGCAGCUUUGCUAGCAGGUGCUUCGGAAGUUCUGUCAGUAUCACAUGGGCCAGGGCCCUUCAGGAAUUGUUACAGUUAAACAGGUGGAAACCCUGGCAAGGAGCAACUUGUUUUUCCUUGCAAGAGAAGCAAAUGUGGUACACAUAGGGUGUGCUAAACCUGUGGUCAUGGGUAGUAUCUGUGGUGCAUUUAGAGCAGCUGCUGGGUAGGAGGCCAUGGGAAACCUCUCCUAUGACCAGACACCCCAUGCCUACAGAGUACAAUCAGGAUUCUCACACAUAAGGAUGUAGAAGAUUAUCCACACAUCUGUUUUCCAUUCCCAGUGGAGCUCACCUUCCACAAGCCCACCUCUCUGUCUUUUUAAAGUCUUCUGUCUUAAGGCCAAGAGCGAAGGACCAGGAUGAUAAUGCCUAUGAUCUGGGUUUUAUGUAAGGAAUAUUGUCAACGUAGAGAUGCAGUGAAGAGUCUGAGAGUGGGUAGACUGCUGGCAGCAUUAGAAUGUGAGCUAACUCUGCACCUAGGUGACAGAAGAGUUCUGAGGGACACCUGCUGUAAAGUGUAUGCUCCCUCAAAGGCCUUCUGUUUAUUUACAGGGUUUAAUUUCAAAUUUUAAGAGCAGGAACAAAAUUAAGAUCAGAAUAUGCUGGAAAGAAGGGAAAAUAUAGUAGGUACUUAGUUGUGCAUUGGGACUUUUCAACAAAAACUUCCUUCAUUCAACAAGUCAGGUGUUUCCUCUCAGGCAGGGCUGUGUGGAUCCAGGGCAGUAGUUGAAGCCUCAGUUGCACUCUAGUUCCUACUGGGCUUGCACAGUGCUGCUGUGUCCAGUCCCUCAAGUCAGAGUUUCUCUUCCUGCCACAAAGCAGCCUAAGGCAAAGCUCACACUCCUGAAACUACGGAGGGCAGAGCUGAUCAACUGGGUAGGACUGCUUCCCUCUCUUGGUCCAGCACGUCCUGCUGUAGCUUUAGACACAGGGUGAACAUUUUUCUCUUGCUAUGUUAUUUCACAUGUUUAGAAAUAUGUUUUUAAUCGUUGUCCCCCAAAUUAGCAGACAAAAGUCCUUUCAGAUAUUUUAGUAUUUUCUUUUUGGUGUGACACAACACCAAAUCAUUCUAGGCAAUGGUAGAACAGAGAUGGCUCAUGUUGGAUAAGGAGACCACCCAACUUUAUGACACCAUUGUAGCUAAUUGCAUCUGCAUGGAGACCCUUUCCAAAUAAGGUCACCUUCAGAGGUCAUGUGACCUUUCAACGUAUGUUGAAGAUGACAGUGUAUCAGUCUGCGGGGUGCAGAACAAGCCCACACAGUAGACUUUGUCAUCUACACUUUGAAGAUGACCAUGAAGAAGCCUUGUGAAGACUGAUACUGUCAAGGACGCCCAGCUCCUGAGCCUUACCCCAAGCCUGAGUUUCAUCCGGGUCCACCUGAAAGACCUCCGGAGCGGGGAGACCCUCACUCAAGUCUCGGGAUGAUGCGACCCCCCAAGAACUCACAGAUCUUCCUCCUAGCUGCCUGAGGAUGCUGGUCACUCCUAUUUGCCUUCGGAUCAAGAUGCAGAACUUUCAGCUCCUUUUCCAGCACCAACUUAGCCUGUCUACUGCCACACUUCCUGCUAUGAUGAUAAGGACUAAUCCUCUAAAUCUGCUGCCAGCAGAAGGAGGCACGACCCAGGGUAAAGGCAGAUCUUUCUACCUCGAAAGUUCUGGAUUAAAGAACCUCACGUACACAUGUACAAGGGCUGUGUGCCCCACUAUCUUCAGGGAGGAGCAUUUUUCUCAGAUCCACUUGAUUCAAUCUCUGAUGGCUCAGCCUCUGGAAGUCAAUAGAAUCAAAGAGGCUCAGUAAGCUGCAGCAAGACACAAAGAACAAGACAGUCACAUUGGAGGAAGCAGGAAGACUGCAGUCAUGUUAAUGAUUUAAUACUUCUUGAAUGUAUAUGCUACAUGACUUUCCUCUCAGUGACCAUGUUCAAAGGUUCAUCUAUAAUGAAUAACUAAGCCCUUAAUAAAGCAUGCUUCCUCUGUU
Molecule: non-coding RNA, 5943 nt
Organism: Rattus norvegicus (Norway rat)
Lineage: Eukaryota; Metazoa; Chordata; Mammalia; Rodentia; Muridae
Source: RefSeq, a predicted model, not a curated record